UCCAAUUCAUUCCAUUCCAUUCCACUGCACUACAUUCCACUGAAUUCCACUCCACUCCACUCCUCCUUUUCAUUCCAUUCCAUUCCAUUGCAUUCCAUUCCAUUCCAUUCCAUUCCAUUCCAUUCCAUUCCAUUCCAUUCCAUUCCAUUCCAUUCCAUUCCGCUCAGGUUGAUUCAAUUGCAUUCUAUUGCAUUCUAUUCUAUUGCAUUCAAUUCCAUUCCAUUGCAUUGCAUUCCCCUCCCAUUCAUUCAAUUAGAGUCUAUUCCAUUCCAUUCCUUUCCAUUCCAUUCCAUUCCAAUGUGGUUGAUUCAAUUCCACUCUCUUCCAUUCCAUUCCAUUUCAUUCCAUUCCAUUCCAUUCCAUUCCAUUCCAUUCCAUUCCAUUCCAUUCCAUUCCAUUCCAUUCCAUUCCACUCGGGUUCACUCAAUUCCAUUCUAUUCCAAUCCAUUCCAUUCCAUUCCAUUCCAUUCCAUUCCAUUCCAUUCCAUUCCAUUCAGUUUGAUUCCAUUUCAUUCCAUUCCUUUCCUUUCCAUUGCAUUCCAUUCCAUUCCAUUCCAUUCCAUUCCAUUCCAUUCCAUUCCAUUCCAUUCCAUUCCACUCGGGUUGAUUCCAUUCCUUUCCUAUCCAUUCUAUUUCAUGCCAUUCCACUCGGGUUGAUUCAAUUCCAUUGUAUUCCAUUCCAUUCCAUUCCAUUCCAUUCCAUUCCAUUCCAUUCCAUUCCAUUCCACUCGGUUUCAUUCAAUUCCUUUCCA
Molecule: long non-coding RNA, 752 nt
Filed under: Homo sapiens (human)
Lineage: Eukaryota; Metazoa; Chordata; Mammalia; Primates; Hominidae
Description: HSALNT0409328
Source: RNAcentral